CCUGUGGAGAGUGAAGGAAAGAGAGAGUGAGUAACACAAGGAGAAACAGAGGAAACCUGUACUUACAGUACGCUGUGUUCAGCCCAGAGGUGAGAGUCAUUCAAAGCAAACUAACUGUGCUAUUGUGCCCAAGUUGAUACCUGUGGAGAGAAAAGGAGAGAGAGUGAAUAACACGAGGAGGAAUAGAGCGAACCCUGUACUUACAGUACGUUGUGUCCAGCCCAGAGGUGAAAGCCAUCCAAAGCAGAGUAACUGUGUUUUGUGUCCAAGUUGAUACCUGUAGAGAGGAGGAGAGAGAGUGGAUAACGCGAGGAGAAAUAGAGCGAAACCUGUACUUACAGUACGCUGUGUCCAGCCCAGAGGUGAGAGCCAUUCAAAGCAAACUAACUGUGCUAUUGUGCCCAAGUUGAUACCUGUGGAGAGAAAAGGAGAGAGAGUGGGUAACACGAGGAGAGACCGAGGAAACCUGUACUUACGCCGCUGCCUGUGGAGAAAGAGAAAGCGAGUGAGCACCCAAGGAACGAACUGUGUGAACCAGUACUUACUGUGAGCUGCAAUCAGCGAAGAGGUGAAAGCCAUCCAAAGCAGAGUAACUGUGUUUUGUGUCCAAGUUGAUACCUGUAGAGAGGAGGAGAGAGAGUGGAUAACGCGAGGAGAAAUAGAGCGAAACCUGUACUUACAGUACGCUGUGUCCAGCCCAGAGGUGAGAGCCAUUCAAAGCAAACUAACUGUGCUAUUGUGCCCAAGUUGAUACCUGUGGAGAGAAAAGGAGAGAGAGUGGGUAACACGAGGAGAGACCGAGGAAACCUGUACUUACGCCGCUGCCUGUGGAGAAAGAGAAAGCGAGUGAGCACCCAAGGAACGAACUGUGUGAACCAGUACUUACUGUGAGCUGCAAUCAGCGAAGAGGUGAGAGCAAAACCAAGCCGAAUUAACUGUGCCUUUGUGUCCCAGCCGUUGCCUGUGGAGGAAGAGAAAGAGAGUGAGCACCCCGAGAACGAACUGUGUGAACCAGUACUUACCGUGAGUUGUAUUCAGCGAAGAGGAGGAAGAAGGAGGGCGCUACGGACACCUAAGACCCUGGCCGGGCCCCGAGUCCCACGCCCCGGAUCCCCGUGGCCCCCUUGCUCCCUGACCUCUUCCCGGCCAUAGCCCAUCUGGAGGGCCGAGUCAGAGUUUAGUUUUAAUUGCCCUUUCCCUAUUCCCCAAGCUAUUUUUAAAUAUUUAAAUAAAGAUUGUUUUAUCACUUA
Carassius gibelio (silver crucian carp) is the source of this 1250-nucleotide long non-coding RNA. RefSeq lists it as uncharacterized. Lineage: Eukaryota; Metazoa; Chordata; Actinopteri; Cypriniformes; Cyprinidae. The record is from RefSeq and is a predicted model, not a curated record. The transcript is spliced from 2 exons.